UCCCGCCCUCAUCACGUGACGGAGGGUCACGUGACAGGCGCGCGGAUGGCGGCGGCGCUGGCGCCGCGCUGAGGGCGCCCGGCAUGGAGGUGUUCAUCCCGUCCUUCCGAUACGAGGAGAGCGAGCUGGAGCGGGGAUACACGGUCUUUAAAAUAGAAGUGCUGAUGAAUGGAAGGAAACAUUUUGUGGAGAAGAGGUAUAGCGAAUUCCAUGCACUUCAUAAAAAGCUCAAGAAGUUCAUAAGAACACCGGAGAUCCCUUCAAAGCACGUGAGAAACUGGGUCCCCAAGGUCCUGGAGCAGCGACGACAAGGCUUGGAGUUGUACUUGCAGACAGUCAUUUUAGAAAAUGAAGAGCUCCCUAAGAUAUUUCUUGAUUUUCUGAAUGUUCGUCAUGUACCUACCUUGCCAAAAGCAGAAAGCUGUGGCUCUUUUGAUGAAACAGAAUCUGAAGAAUCAAGCAAACUGUCCCACCAGCCUGUGCUGCUGUUCCUAAGGGAUCCAUAUGUCUUGCCUAAAGCCAACGUUUGCAGCACAGAGAAAAUAUAGAUGAGCUUUCUAAAAUUUUCCCUCUCAGAUCAGUUCUUACUUUGAUAGAGCCUGAUUCCUUUGUAAAAACAGCCAAGGCUGUUCAACCUGUGACCAAAAAUGACUUUCCAAACGUAGUUAUAGAUGGCAUUCUACAUGGAAUAUUUUAUCCUCAUCUACUGCCCAGGUAGAAGUAAUACAAGGCAAGAAGAAGCUGAAGCAAGUCUCUGAGUCGUGGUUAAUAGAAUUAACAGGAAUAAAAUUCUUUGAUGUGAAAAUGAUACUCAGAAGCAAGAGGCACAACUGCAGUUUAAGUUCAAGCAUUGUGUCUUUUAAAAUAAAAUCACUGUCAUUACAGUUGCUGCUUUAAAAAAAAAGAUAUGGAAACCACAGUAUUGAAGUUAUUUAUACCUUCUAUAUAUUGACAUGCUCUAUUUAACACUAAAUGCUCUAAGUCAUACACUGAACUAUGCUAACCUUUGAAGAGAAACAUUUUACUAAUUAUUUCUAUAAUUUCUAUUAAAGCAAACACUAAACCAUUUUGCACCAGGAUUUUUCCCAGCACCUUACCCAUUGCUGACACUGGAUGGAUUAAAAGUGCUGAAGAGUGUGUGCGCAGAAUUGGAAACAUGCUUUCACAUUCUGAAACACAUAGCACUCUCUAAGGUAAUCUUCUAGAUUCCAGUUGAACCUAUUUUACUUACCAGGAGCUUUUACAUAGCUUUUACACAUCUCCAUUUCGAUGACAUCUAACCUGUGUGUUUGUUUACUCUCUACAUCAACUUGCUGACUGUAUUCUAUAUAUUAACAUUUUAUAAAUCACAGAACAUACAACUCUGUGGUAAACUAAAGCAAGACUAUUGUUAAGAUUAUGAUCAAACUAAAACUGAUACAUAUAUAUGUAUGUUCAGAUUUAACUGGAAGUUUGUAUGUGUGCUACUGGACAUUACAAAAUAAAUCACUAGGACAUGAA
Molecule: RNA transcript, 1500 nt
Organism: Prinia subflava (tawny-flanked prinia)
Lineage: Eukaryota; Metazoa; Chordata; Aves; Passeriformes; Cisticolidae
Gene: SNX24
Gene name: sorting nexin 24
Exons: 8
Source: RefSeq, a predicted model, not a curated record